GGGGGGAGAGGAGAGACCACUAAUGGAAAGUCGGGGAGAAAAGGACACCACUAAGGGAGGUGGGGGGGGGAAGGAGAGACCACUAAGGGGCAGGGGAGAUCUCUAAGGAAUGGAAGGGAGAGCUCUAUAGGACAGGGAGACAGGGAGCUCUUUCACACCACGCGCGCGUACACACACACACACACACACACACAAUGCAUCCCUAUACACACAGAAACACAACAUGCUUCCCUUACACACAGAAAAACACACAAUGCAACCCUUACACAUAAAGACAAUGCAUCAUUUGCAC
Pelobates cultripes (western spadefoot toad) is the source of this 292-nucleotide non-coding RNA. The record is from the annotation of a GenBank genome assembly. Lineage: Eukaryota; Metazoa; Chordata; Amphibia; Anura; Pelobatidae.